CAACUUUACCAAAUUCAUUGAUGAGCUCCACCAAUUUUCAUGUAGCAUCUUUAGGAUUAUCUAGGUAUAGUAUCAUGUCAUCUGCAAAGAGUGAUAGUUUUACUUCUUUUCCAAUUUGGAUUUCUUUUUCCUUCAUCGCCAUGGCUAGGACUUCAAAAACUAUGUUGAAUAACAGUGGCGAAGGGGUACGUCCCUGAUUCUUCCUGCUUUCACCUUUUCACCAUUGAGUUUAAUGUUAGCUGUGGGUUUGUCAUAGAUGGCCUUUAUUAAGUUGAAGGUUCCCUCUGCCCACUUUUCUGCAGAGUUUUUUUUUUUUUUAUCAUAACUGUUUAGUGAUUUUGUCAGAAGCUUUUUCUCCAUCUAUUGAAAAAUCCUUGCAUCGGAGUUCCCGUUGUGGCGCAGUGGUUAACGAAUCCGACUAGGAACCAUGAGCAAGGGCAGGGACCGAAGCCACAACCUCAUGGUUCCUAGUCAGAUUCAUUAACCACUGCACCACGAUGGGAACUCCCACUUCUCAAAAUUUUUAAUGGAAUUCUCCUGUGAAGCCAUCUGGUCCUGGACUUUUCUUUUCUGUUGGAAGAAUUUAGUCACAGUUUCAAUUUCAGUACUUGUGAUUUGUCCAUUGAUCUUUUCUAUUUCAUCUUGGUUUAGUCUUAGGACGAUUGUACUUUUCUAAGAAUAUGUCCAUUUCUUCUAGUUUGUCUGUUUUAUUGGCAUAUAGUUGCUUGUAGUAGUCUUUUUUAUUAUUUCUCAUUGAAUUUUAUUACAUUUAUAGUUGUAUAACUGUCAUUACAACCAAAUUUUAUAGCAUUUCCAUCCCAAACACUCAGUGCAUCCCCCCACCCCCUAACCUGUCUCAUUUGGAAAUCCUAAGUUUUUCAAAGCCUGUGAGUCAGGAUCUGUUCUGCAAAGAAGUUCAUUGUGUCUUUUUUUUUUAGAUUCCACAUGUAUGUGAUUGCAUUUGAUGUUGCCAUCUCGUUGUCUGACUGACUUCACUUAGCAUGAUAAUUUCUAGGUCAUCCGUGUUGCUGCAAAUGCUGUUAUUUCUUUCCUUUUAAUGGCUGAGAAAUAUUCCGUGGUGUAUAUGUACUACAUCUUCUUGAUCCACUCCUCUGUUGAUGGACAUUUAGUUUGUUUCUAUACUCUAUUGUAUAGAGUGCUGCAAUGAACACUGGAGUACAUGUGUCUUUUUGAGUCAUAGUUCUCUCUGGGUAAAUGCCCAGGAGUGGGACUGUUGGAUCAAAUGGUAAUUCUAUUUUUAACCUUUUGAGGAAUCUCCUUACUGUUUCCAUAGUGGUUGCACCAAUUUACAUCCCCACUAACAGCGUAAUAGGGUUCCAUUUCUCCAAACCCUCUCCAGCACUUACUGUUUGUAGACUUUUUGAUGAUGGCCAUUCUGGCCAGUGUAAGGUGGUACCUCAUAGUAGUUUUGAUUUGCAAGUCUUUAAUAACUAGUGAUCUUGAACAUCUUUUCAUGUGUUUUUUGGCCAUCCGUGCGUCUUCUUUGGAGAACUGUCUGUUUAGAUCUUCUGCCCAUUUUUUGAUGGGGUUGUUUUAUUUCUAAUCUAUAGCAUUGUGGUCAGAAAAGAUGCUUGAUAUAAUUUCAAUUUAUUGAAAUUUACUUAAGCUAGGUUUGUGGCGCAGCAUGUGAUCUUUCCCGGAGAAUGUUCCAUAUGCACUUGAAAAUAAUGUAUAUUCUGCUGCUUUUGGAUAGAAUGUUUGUUCUAUAAAUAUCACUUAUGAUCUCUUGUCUAAUGUAUCAUUUAAGGGCUGUUUUCUUACUGAUUUUCUGUCUGGAUGAUCUGUCCACUGAUGUAAGCAGGAGGUUUAAAAUCUCCCAUUAUUACUGGGUUGCUGUUGAUUGCUCCUUUGUUAAAUGCAUAUAUAUUUACACUUGUCAUAUCUUCUUGGAUUGAUCCCUUGAUCACUAUGAUUCUUUGUCUCUUGGAAUAGUCUUCAAAGUCUGUUUUGUCUGAUAGGAGUUGCUAUUCAAGAUUUUGUUUCCAUUUGCAUGAAGUACCUUUUUCUGUCCCCCCACUUUCAGUCUUAUCCCUAGCUCUGAAAUAGCUCGUUUGUAGACAGCAUAUAUACUAGUCUUGUUUUUGUAUCUAUUCAACCAGUCUGUGUCUUUUGGUUAGAGCAUUUAAUCUACCUACAUUCAAGAUAAUUAUCAGUAUGUAUGUUUUAAUUUGUUUUUGUUUUUGGCUCUCCCCUGGUAGCAUACAGAAGUUCCCUGGCCAGGAAUCAAACCUGUGCCAUGGCAGCAACCCAAGCAACAGCAGUGACAACACUGGUUCCAUAACCCACUGAGCCACCAGGGACUCUGAUAUGUAUGUUUUUAUUGUGGUUUUGUUAACUGCUUUGGAUUUGUUUUUGUAGUACUUUUUUCUUCCCUUCAUUUUUUGUCCUCUUUUGUGAUUUGAUGACUAUCAUGUUAUGUUUGGAUUGCUUUUUCUUUUUGUGUGUGUAUCUUAGAAGUUUUGGUUUGCAGUUCCCAUGAGGUUUUGAUAUAGCAGUCUAUAUAUACAAAAGAUUGAUUUUAGUUGCUGUUCUCUUAAUUUCAAAUACAUUUCCAAUAUCCUGCAUUUGUACUCUCCUUUUCUCAUGAUUGCUGGCUUUAAUAUCGUAUUUGUGUAUAGACGAUUACCUACCUUCACUGCAUGUUUGCUUUUACCAGUGAGCUUUCCCAUUCAUAAAUUUCUUGUUUCUAGUUAUGGCCUUUUUUUUUUUUCCUGCCUAGAGAAGUUCUCUUAGCAUUUGUUGUAAAUCUGAUUUGGCAGUGCUGAAUUCUGUCAGCUUUUGCUUGUCUGUAAAGCUUUUGAUUUCUCCAUUGAGUCUGAAUGAGAGCCUGGCUGGAUAAAGUGCUUUUGGUUAUUUUUUUCCCUUUCAUUGCUUUAAAUAUAUCAUUCCACUUCCUUCUGGCCUUCAGAGUUUCUGCUGAAAAAUCAGCUGAUAAUCUUAUGAGGAUUCCCUUGUAUGUUAUUUGUUGCUUUUCCCUUGAAGAUUUUGACGUUUUGUUUUUAAUUCUUGUCAACUUGACUAAUAUGUGUCUCAGCUUGUUCCUCCUGAGUUUAUCUCCUAUGUGAUGCUCUGAGCCUCUUGGACUUGAGUGUUUACUUUCCCAUGUUAGGGAAGUUUUAAGCUAUUAUCUCCUCUUCAGAUAUUUUCUCAGGCCCUUUCUCUCUUCCUCUUCUUCUGGGACUCCUUUAAUAUGAACAUUGGUGCAUUUCAUGUUGUCCCAGAGGUCUCUUAGAUUGUCUUCAUUUCUUUUCAGUCUUUUUUCUUUAUUCUGUUCUGUGGCAGUGAUUUCCACCAACAUGUCUUCCAGCUCCCUUCUUUGUUCUUAUGCCUCAUUUAUUCUGCUAUUUAUUCCUUCUAGUGUAAUUUCUUAUUUCGGUUAUUGUAUUGUUCAUCUCUGUUCUCUCAGAGUCUUCUAGCUCUUAUGGAAGCACCCAAAGCAUUAGGUUUUAAUGACCCCAAGUUUGAAUGAGACAAUUCCAAAAAGUUAAAAAAUCAAAUCAUGCAUAAAAGCCCACUAUACUUAAUAAUACUACAGAAGAUUAAGAUAUUUGUUCUUUAAAGAAUAUUCCAAUGUGCUGCCUUAGUGUAAUAACUGAACCUAAGCCUUUCCUUAUAAUGGCCCUCCUCUGUGAAAACAAAAACACAAGGUGUCAACUUUUCUAAAUAAUACUGAAAUUAAACAAAAUUCUAUAAGAUAUGAAAAAAAAAAGUCUUCUAGCUCUUUGUUAAACAUUUCUUGUAUUUUCUCAGUCUGUGCCUCCAUUCUUUCUCCUAGCUCUUGGAUCUUCUUUACUAUCUGUACUCUGAAUUCUAUUGCAGAUAUAUUACCUAUCUUCAUUUAGUUAUUCUUCUGGUAUUUUAUCUUGUUCCUGAGCUUGAAGCAUUAUUUCUCUGUUGUCUCAUUUUGUCUAACUUUCUGUUUGUGGUCUCCAUUCUGCAGGCUGCAGGAUUGUAGUUCCUCUUGCUGCUUUUGUCUGCUUCCCCCCCCCCCCCAGUGGGUGAAGUUGGUCCAGGGGCUUGUGAAAUCUUCCUAAUGAGACAAACUGGUACCUUCCCACUGUUAGGUGAACCUGGAUCUUGUCCCUCUGAUCCACAGGGCUGAAUCAAGGGGUAUAUUUAGAAGCAGCUCUGGGCUCAGGAAGUCUUUAGGCAGCCCAUCUGCUGAUUGGUGCAGCAGUGUUUUCACCCUUUCAUUUGGCUGAAGCAUUCCAGCCCUGGACCUGCAGGUGGUUGGGUAUGGCCAGGCCUCAGUGCCGAGAUGACAAUCUCCAGGAGAGACCACACUGGAAAAUGUUCCCUGGGGCCUCUUACACCAGUGUCUUUGUCUCCACAGUGAGCCACAGUAUCCCAGGAGACUCCAACACCUGCAAGUAGUUCUGGCCCAGGCUCCUAUAGAGUCACUGCUUUGCUUUGUAUCCCAGUGCACCUGAAAGCCUGUGUGCACCCUCUAGGAAUGGAGUCUCCCUUUCUUCCAGUCGUAUGGAGCUCCUACACUCAAGACCCACUGGUCUUUAAAGCCAAAUGCCCUGGGAGUUUCUGUUCCUGAUGCCAGACCCCCAGGCUGUGGAGCCUGAUGGGGGGUUGAGAAUGCUUAUUCCUAUGGGAGAACCUCUUACAAUAUAAUUAUUUUCCAGUGUGUGGGUCACCUGCUUGGUAGAUAUAGGAUGUGAUUUUAUUGUGAAAACACCCCCUUAUACCAUCUCACUGUGGCUUAUUCUUUGGCUUUGGAUAUAGAAUAUCUUUUUUGGUAGGUCCAGUCUUUGCCUGAUGGCUGUUGAAGGGUUGUGCUUUUGGUGUUUUCAUGAGAGGAGGUGAGCUCAAGGCCUUCUUCACCAUCUUAUCUCAUAAUCCCUCUCCUAUAAUAACUUUAAUGUUAUGAAUUAUAUUUAUUUGGUUUUAUAACAAUAAAGCAAACUUGGAUUUCUGGGGUAUUUUGUAUAUCACAAAGUGAAGGAGAGCAGGAUUAAGAUGGCAGAGGAGUAAGAAAUGGUGCACACCUUCUCCCACAAACACAUCCAAAAAAAAUUGUAUGUAGAACUGUUUGAAUGGAACAUCUACUGAACAUUGUCAGAAAACCUUACACUUCCAAAAAGAAUAAGAAACCCUCCACAUAACUGGGUAGAACAAAUGGAAGAAAAAGAGAAAAAAGAGGUAUCAGGAUGGGAGCAGCACUCUUGAGAGGGAGCUAUGAAAGAGGAAAGGAAUCCGCACCCUGGCAGGUCAUCUAACUGACAGAUAAGCCAAGACACAGAGGGAACCCCAAAGCCCUGGAGAAGAGCACAGCAGCCAGACUGAGAUAGGCAAAGCAGAGACAGAGUGCUCAAAAAACCAUCGGUACCACCCCCGCCCCAGACACCACAGCCUGAGAUGCUUGGGUGGGGGCUGGGUGUGAGAUUGUACUCUGGAGAUAAGAGAAAUAUAAGCACACAAUGAAGAAAUUCAGGAACCAUUCCCAGUUAAAAGAACAGGAGAAUUCCCCUGAAGGAGCAAACAGUGAAAGAGACCUCACAGUCUAACACCAAGUUCAAAAAGGAGAUAGUGAAAAUACUGAAGGAAUUAAGAGCACUUUAUGAAGGACUUAAGAACAGAUAUGAAAUAAUGCAUAUUAUAAGGGCACUAUAAAAUAUAAAGAGGAGCCAAGAAAAAUUAGAAAAUUCAUUUACAGAGACUCAAGCUGAGUUAAAGACACAGAAGAGCAGGAUGAAUAAUGAAGAGGAACAAAUUAGUGACUUAGAAGACAGAAUAAUGGAAAUCACUCAAUCAGGAGAGCAGACAGAAAACCAAAUAAAACAUGGAAGCAGUAUAAGAAAAUAUAAAGUGGGCCAAUCUAUGGAAAAUAGGGAUACCAGAAGAAAAAGAAUAAGGGGACUGGAAAUAUAUUUGAGGAAAUCAUGGCUGAAAACUUUCCAAAUUUAAAGGAAACAGACAUCAAGAUACGGGAAGUACGGAAGGCCCCAAACAAGCUGAACCCGAACAAACUUGCCUAAGACAUGUUAUAAUAAACAUGGCAAAAGUUAAAGGUAAGGAGAGGAUUCUAAAGGCAGCAAGAGAAAAACAGAGUUAAUUAUAAGAGAACCCCCAUAAUGCUAUCAACUGAUUUUCCUACUGAAACACUUCAGGCCAGAAGGAGUGGCAAGAUGUAUUCAAAGUUCUGAAAGGGAAAAAUUUACAGCCUAGAAUACUCUACCCAGCAAGAAUAGCAUUUAAAAUAGAAGGAGGAGUUCCUGUUGUGGCGCAGUGGUUAACGAAUCCGACUAGGAACCAUGAGGUUACGGGUUCGGUCCCUGCCCUUGCUCAGUGGGUUAACGAUCCGGUGUUGCCGUGAGCUGUGGUGUAGGUUGCAGACACGGCUCGGAUCCCGCAUUGCUGUGGCUCUGGCAUAGGCCGGUGGCUACAGCUCCGAUUCGACCCCUAGCCUGGGAACCUCCAUAUGCCGCGGGAGCGGCCCAAGAAAUAGCAACAACAACAACAAC
This 6494-nucleotide long non-coding RNA is filed under the name Sus scrofa (pig). RNAcentral's name for it is "lncRNA (ENSSSCG00000057680.1)". Lineage: Eukaryota; Metazoa; Chordata; Mammalia; Artiodactyla; Suidae. The record is from RNAcentral.